Molecule: ribosomal RNA, 253 nt
Filed under: uncultured bacterium
Lineage: Bacteria
Description: partial 16S ribosomal RNA
Rfam family: Bacterial small subunit ribosomal RNA
Source: RNAcentral
UACAGAGGGUGCGAGCGUUGUCCGGAAUUACUGGGCGUAAAGGGCGCGUAGGUGGUUUGAUAAGGGUGUGGUGAAAGUCCGGGGCUCAACCCCGGAUCUGCCGUGCCGACUGUCAAACUCGAGGGCUGUAGAGGCAGACGGAAUUCCGGGUGUAGCGGUGGAAUGCGUAGAGAUCCGGAGGAAGACCGGUGGCGAAGGCGGUCUGCUGGGCAGUUUCUGACACUGAGGCGCGGCAGCGUGGGGAGCAAACAGG